GAUGAGAACAGAUUCUCCUAAUAAAGAAUAUUUUGAAAUCUAAUUUUAAAACCUUUCUUUUAUCAAAACUAAAUCAAAUUUGGAUGUGAGAUAGAUAAGGAAAAUGAGUCUUUGGUGUGAAGACAUUUCACACAAAACGAUUUUGUGCAUGGAGAUAUAUGGAGUGCAAUCUGGGUUGGCGCAGAGAGAAGAGUCCUAUUCUA
Molecule: long non-coding RNA, 203 nt
Filed under: Elaeis guineensis (African oil palm)
Lineage: Eukaryota; Viridiplantae; Streptophyta; Magnoliopsida; Arecales; Arecaceae
Description: long non-coding RNA (EGUI_LNC046590)
Source: RNAcentral